This 415-nucleotide long non-coding RNA is filed under the name Rattus norvegicus (Norway rat). RNAcentral's name for it is "long non-coding RNA NONRATT002144". Lineage: Eukaryota; Metazoa; Chordata; Mammalia; Rodentia; Muridae. The record is from RNAcentral.
CUUGUGAUGAGAACGAAGAUAUUGGGAGGCCAGAAGUGUUCAGUGAAGAUCGUGGGUGUGAGGUGACAUUUGAGUGGAAAACAAAAGUUGUCUGCCCUCCGAAGAAGAUGGAGUGCAAGUUUGUUCAGAAGCAUAAAACCUAUGACUUGCGAUUGCUCUCAUCCCUCACGGGGUCCUGGGAUUUUGUGCAUGAAGGAAACUCGUGAGUAUGCCACUGAGUGUGGUCCCUCAAGUUUGCAAAGACAGGAAUAUCACAUACCCGUGGGUUUUGGGGAUCUCAUUGAGACACAGCCUAGAUUGUCAGUGAAUGACCCCAAAAUCAUAGUGUAUGGGGAAUUCUGGUGAGCAUCCAUGGAGGCAACUGUGAAGGGCUUCCUGUUGCUCAGGUUUGAGGGAAGGAUAGGUUUCCUCUGAC